UACGAAGGGGGCUAGCGUUGCUCGGAAUCAUUGGGCGUAAAGGGUGCGUAGGCGGGUCUUUAAGUCAGGGGUGAAAUCCUGGAGCUCAACUCCAGAACUGCCUUUGAUACUGAAGAUCUUGAGUUCGGGAGAGGUGAGUGGAACUGCGAGUGUAGAGGUGAAAUUCGUAGAUAUUCGCAAGAACACCAGUGGCGAAGGCGGCUCACUGGCCCGGUACUGACGCUGAGGUGCGAAAGCGUGGGGAGCAAACAGG
RNAcentral lists this ribosomal RNA (253 nucleotides) under uncultured bacterium. RNAcentral's name for it is "partial 16S ribosomal RNA". It matches the Rfam family "Bacterial small subunit ribosomal RNA", at positions 524 to 776 of the family's 1533-position model. The record is from RNAcentral.